Molecule: long non-coding RNA, 1438 nt
Organism: Haemorhous mexicanus (house finch)
Lineage: Eukaryota; Metazoa; Chordata; Aves; Passeriformes; Fringillidae
Exons: 3
Source: RefSeq, a predicted model, not a curated record
UACAGCCUUUCCUUUUUUAUUGCAGUCCUGUAAAAUAUUGGCUUGUGCCAUCUAAUGCUGUCUUACCUAUCCUAUCCUGUAACUUGUGUUUGUUUCGCCUUUUCAUUUUUUAUACAAUAUAAUGUUAAAACUUGCAGCAAUACAUUUAUCUUCAUGUGAGAGCAGUGAGAAAACACUUUCACUUGGCAUACUCUUCAUCAGAUCUUAAUAACCUUGGUGGUACCUUGCAGAGGUAUUACUGCCCUAAUUUUGAAUUGAAGGAAAAAUGAGCAGUUAAUGUAAAAUUUCUAACAGAUUUUUGCCUUUAUCAUUACACAUAUGAACUCUCAAGAUUCUCUCAUUACAGGAGAAGUAGAAGAACUAGAGUAGUAUUAAUCAGCUGUGUUGUAUUUAUUCUUUCCUUUAAUGAAUGUAAUGUCAUGUGAAUCUUUGAGCAAAUAAGAGGAUGCGCCAGACAACGGUCAGCCAUUACACAUAAUGAUAAAUGAAAGCAAACUGAAUCCACGUGUUGCAUCUUUAAUUACCCAGUGAUAGUUCUUGUAACACAUGUGAAGUCAAGAUGACUUUCUUGGGCAGCAAGACAAAAAGAAGCAUUUAAUUUUCAACAUAGUGGAGGAUCAGGAGGACUAGCAGACAAGACUACUGAGCUAACCACGGGUGACCAAUGGUUAAAGUUCAUCUGAAACCUACCAUCAUCGUCAUUGAAAGGGGCCACUCUUAAGCUUCUGUGGCCAGGCCUUUGUGCCUUCAGGCUUUUUGUAAAAAAAAUGUUAAAAAUCAGAAAUUGUCAGCAAGCAUCACUGAAAAAAAAAGGGUGGAAGACAUUGAAAAGCAAGAAUGUGUCUCCUGUGAUUCUUGAUGGCUGAUAGGUAAUCUGUUAUCUGCAGUGAAUUCUGUAUUCAGUGUCCUCCUUAACAUGCUGUCAUGCUUAAAGAUUUUCUACAUGUGAGAAAACUCCAUUUGAAGAAACAGAAUGGGGAGCUGACAAAAAGAAAAAGAAGAGUUGUCUCCUUGCUCUACAAGUGACAUCAGCUUGCGCAACACAUCCACUUGAUGUCACCUUAUUCCACAAAAGUUUUCUUCCAGGUUUCCCAUGAAGACAGGCUUCACUUUGGCCAGGAUGGUAACAAAUGGCAUCACUUGGUCUUUGCACCAGUUUCUGUAGGGGUUUCCCCUCAGGGGUGCUGCUGCAUGGUACUCUGGAUUCGAGGCAGGAGGUGCAUCUUCACCACAGUUGGCCUCCCUUUUCUUUCCAUACUGUUGAUUCAUUCUCCUUAACUACUUCUUCAGCCUUGCAUCCUCCAGACAUGGUCAAUCUGCUGUCAAACACUGGUUUAGUCUUCGGAGGUUGUCAAUGUCCCCUGUGCUGCUUCAGACAGCGCAUGCUCAUUUUGCCUGUUUUGCAAAUGAACAGAAAGUAUUUCAAUUAUUAAACAGA